UGGGGAAUUUUGGACAAUGGGCGAAAGCCUGAUCCAGCAAUGCCGCGUGUGUGAAGAAGGCCUUCGGGUUGUAAAGCACUUUUGUCCGGAAAGAAAUCCUUGGCUCUAAUACAGUCGGGGGAUGACGGUACCGGAAGAAUAAGCACCGGCUAACUACGUGCCAGCAGCCGCGGUAAUACGUAGGGUGCAAGCGUUAAUCGGAAUUACUGGGCGUAAAGCGUGCGCAGGCGGUUCGCUAAGACCGAUGUGAAAUCCCCGGGCUCAACCUGGGAACUGCAUUGGUGACUGGCAGGCUAGAGUAUGGCAGAGGGGGGUAGAAUUCCACGUGUAGCAGUGAAAUGCGUAGAGAUGUGGAGGAAUACCGAUGGCGAAGGCAGCCCCCUGGGCCAAUACUGACGCUCAUGCACGAAAGCGUGGGGAGCAAAACAGGAUUAGAUACCCUGGUAGUCCACGCCCUAAACGAUGUCAACUAGUUGUUGGGGAUUCAUUUCCUUAGUAACGUAGCUAACGCGUGAAGUUGACCGCCUGGGGAGUACGGUCGCAAGAUUAAAACUCAAAGGAAUUGACGGGGUCAUAGCUGUUUCCU
This 586-nucleotide ribosomal RNA is filed under the name uncultured bacterium. Its description in RNAcentral is "partial 16S ribosomal RNA". It matches the Rfam family "Bacterial small subunit ribosomal RNA", at positions 355 to 1375 of the family's 1533-position model. The record is from RNAcentral.